This 372-nucleotide ribosomal RNA is filed under the name uncultured organism. RNAcentral describes it as "bacterial SSU rRNA". It matches the Rfam family "Bacterial small subunit ribosomal RNA", at positions 526 to 896 of the family's 1533-position model. The record is from RNAcentral.
CAGAGGUGGCAAGCGUUGUUCGGAAUUACUGGGCGUAAAGGGCGCGUAGGCGGCCGCCUAAGUCAGACGUGAAAUCCCCAAGCUUAACUUGGGAACUGCGUCUGAUACUGGGUGGCUUGAGUUCGGGAGAGGAAUGUGGAAUUCCAGGUGUAGCGGUGAAAUGCGUAGAUAUCUGGAGGAACACCGGUGGCGAAGGCGGCAUUCUGGACCGAAACUGACGCUGAGGCGCGAAAGCCAGGGGAGCAAACGGGAUUAGAUACCCCGGUAGUCCUGGCCCUAAACGAUGAGUGCUUGGUGUGGUGGGUAUCGAUCCCUGCCGUGCCGAAGCUAACGCAUUAAGCACUCCGCCUGGGGAGUACGGUCGCAAGGCUG